Molecule: ribosomal RNA, 784 nt
Filed under: Bacillus cereus
Lineage: Bacteria; Bacillati; Bacillota; Bacilli; Caryophanales; Bacillaceae
Description: bacterial SSU rRNA
Rfam family: Bacterial small subunit ribosomal RNA
Source: RNAcentral
GCCGGGGGGGGCCCUAAUACAUGCAGUCGAGCGAUGGAUUAAGAGCUUGCUCUUAUGAAGUUAGCGGCGGACGGGUGAGUAACACGUGGGUAACCUGCCCAUAAGACUGGGAUAACUCCGGGAAACCGGGGCUAAUACCGGAUAACAUUUUGAACCGCAUGGUUCGAAAUUGAAAGGCGGCUUCGGCUGUCACUUAUGGAUGGACCCGCGUCGCAUUAGCUAGUUGGUGAGGUAACGGCUCACCAAGGCAACGAUGCGUAGCCGACCUGAGAGGGUGAUCGGCCACACUGGGACUGAGACACGGCCCAGACUCCUACGGGAGGCAGCAGUAGGGAAUCUUCCGCAAUGGACGAAAGUCUGACGGAGCAACGCCGCGUGAGUGAUGAAGGCUUUCGGGUCGUAAAACUCUGUUGUUAGGGAAGAACAAGUGCUAGUUGAAUAAGCUGGCACCUUGACGGUACCUAACCAGAAAGCCACGGCUAACUACGUGCCAGCAGCCGCGGUAAUACGUAGGUGGCAAGCGUUAUCCGGAAUUAUUGGGCGUAAAGCGCGCGCAGGUGGUUUCUUAAGUCUGAUGUGAAAGCCCACGGCUCAACCGUGGAGGGUCAUUGGAAACUGGGAGACUUGAGUGCAGAAGAGGAAAGUGGAAUUCCAUGUGUAGCGGUGAAAUGCGUAGAGAUAUGGAGGAACACCAGUGGCGAAGGCGACUUUCUGGUCUGUAACUGACACUGAGGCGCGAAGCGUGGGGAGCAAACAGGAUUAGAUACUCGUGGUUAGUUCCCAA